RNAcentral lists this ribosomal RNA (906 nucleotides) under Triticum aestivum (bread wheat). RNAcentral's name for it is "partial small subunit ribosomal RNA". The record is from RNAcentral. Lineage: Eukaryota; Viridiplantae; Streptophyta; Magnoliopsida; Poales; Poaceae.
CUGUCCAAAGAGGUGCUUGUUCAAGUAGCCUCGCUUGAAUCGUCACAUGCGAUUUGGACCGCAUUAGCAAACAUGUUUUCUACGGUCUCUCUGUCUUGUGUCAAUAACAUCAAGUCAGCCCUCACGAACGCCCAGAAGGGGUCACAGUGAGCCUCCACCUUCUUCAGGAAGAUGCGUGCCCUCUCCGACGAGCUUGCGGCGGUAGGAAAACCGAUCGGGGAGGACGAACUCAUCUCCUUCAUCGUCGUCGGGCUUGAUAUGGAGUAUCAGCCCAUCAUCUCUGCACUCGACGUCCGCACCGAGCCCAUCACCUUCGACGCACUCUUCUCGAUGGUGGCAAACUUUGAUCAACACGCUGAGAUGUUCAGCAGCGUUGGUGGCUUCAAGUCAUCAGCGAACGCCGCUUCCAAGGGUCGAUCGAGUGGCGGCAGAGGCGGCUACCGCAACCAGAAGCAAGGUGGUCGCGGCGGCGGCUACUCUGGUGCUGGCGGCCAAAACCCUAGCAGUGGCUAUCCUGGCACGGGUAGCGGCGGCUCCAACCAAGGCGGUGGUGGUUACAACAACCACGACGGCGGCGGCUACAACAACCAUGGCAAUGGCUGCGGCCAAGGCAGCGCCACCGUGGCGGCGGCGGCGGGGGCUACUACAACAACAAUGGCCCUCCGCGCCACUACUACAACAACAACCAAGGAGGCCGCUUCGUCGGGUAUGAGGAGUAUGAAAACAAAUGCCAGAUCUGCAAGAAAACUAACCAUAUUGCCAAAGAAUGUAAGUGGCGCUAUGCAGAGGAUAAUUCCAGGAAAAGGCGUGUUGCAGCUGCGGCGGAUGCCUCAUACGGAGUUGACUCUGACUGGUAUCUUGACUCCGGCUCGAAUGAGAACAUCACCUCUGAACUUGAGAAUAUGA